Molecule: ribosomal RNA, 489 nt
Filed under: uncultured bacterium
Lineage: Bacteria
Description: partial 16S ribosomal RNA
Rfam family: Bacterial small subunit ribosomal RNA
Source: RNAcentral
UUGAACGCUGGCGGCAGGCCUAACACAUGCAAGUCGAACGGUAACAGAAAGCAGCUUGCUGCUUUGCUGACGAGUGGCGGACGGGUGAGUAAUGUCUGGGAAACUGCCUGAUGGAGGGGGAUAACUACUGGAAACGGUAGCUAAUACCGCAUAACGUCGCAAGACCAAAGAGGGGGACCUUCGGGCCUCUUGCCAUCGGAUGUGCCCAGAUGGGAUUAGCUAGUAGGUGGGGUAAAGGCUCACCUAGGCGACGAUCCCUAGCUGGUCUGAGAGGAUGACCAGCCACACUGGAACUGAGACACGGUCCAGACUCCUACGGGAGGCAGCAGUGGGGAAUAUUGCACAAUGGGCGCAAGCCUGAUGCAGCCAUGCCGCGUGUGUGAAGAAGGCCUUCGGGUUGUAAAGUACUUUCAGCGGGGAGGAAGGGAGUAAAGUUAAUACCUUUGCUCAUUGACGUUACCCGCAGAAGAAGCACCGGCUAACUCCGUG